AGUGUGAAGCUGUCAGCAGGGGGAAUAACACAGCGCUGUGAAUGAGUCCUGUCACUGUGAUCAGGCUCCUCCUUCUAAUCCACCAACUUAGUGUUGAUGAAGACUAAACAGAGAGAUCACAGCUUCUUUAUACUUGCUGUAGCUCACAGUUACUCUACACUGCAGAUAUGACGCCUCUGUUCAUCUCAGUGCUGCUGGCUGCUAUGUGCCUCGAAUGCAGAGCACAAAAAGACAACGUGCUGCAAGCAAAAGGAGAAGAGACUGCUGCUGCAGGAGGCACAGUGACACUUGACUGUCUCUAUAACAGCAGCAGUUUAACAAAUGAUUAUCUCUACUGGUACAAACAGGAUGGAAACAACAGCCCCAAAUUCAUCCUGAUGCGCUAUAGUGGGGAUCAAGGAAACACAGCAGAGGAGUUCAAGGAGAGAUUUUCAUCCACACUGGAUUCCAGCAUCAGAUCAGUUCCUCUGAAGAUCCAGAAGCUUCAGCUGUCUGACUCUGCUGUGUACUACUGUGCUCUGCAGCCCACAGUGACAGGAAAC
Molecule: non-coding RNA, 542 nt
Organism: Maylandia zebra (zebra mbuna)
Lineage: Eukaryota; Metazoa; Chordata; Actinopteri; Cichliformes; Cichlidae
Source: the annotation of a RefSeq genome assembly